This is a long non-coding RNA of Gossypium arboreum, 266 nucleotides long. RefSeq lists it as uncharacterized. The transcript has 2 exons. NCBI's taxonomy places the organism in Eukaryota, Viridiplantae, Streptophyta, Magnoliopsida, Malvales, Malvaceae. The record is from RefSeq and is a predicted model, not a curated record.
AUAUUUUAUAUUAUAGAUCAAGAAUCCAAAGAAGAACGAGGAAAAGAAAAAGUUGCGGAAUAGUCCCUAAAUUUCAAUAUCUUCUACAAAUUAGCCGGAUUGACUUGAAGUGAAGUGGGUAGAUCGGAUCAACACAACAAAGCACACUAUCCAGAUCAAUUCCGGUAGCUUUUGUUUUAUGUUUGAAGAUUUAUAUGGCAUGUAUAGAGUUUAAAUGAAAUGAAGUAAAGAUGUUAUAAACUAGUUAACAACAUUUUGUACUAAAA